AUGCCCCUCAAGUAUUGGGAUGAUGCUUUCAUCACAACUACAUAUCUUAUCAACCGUCUUCCCAGUAAGGUCAUUGGCAAUUCAACUCCUUUAGAACGAUUGUAUCAUCAAAAGCCAGACUACAACUCUCUAAAAAAAUUUGGGUGUGCAUGUUACCCCAACCUUCAUCCAUACAAUGGUCACAAACUAGAGUUUCGCUCCACACAAUGUGUGUUUCUUGGGUAUAGCAACCUUCGUAAAGGGUAUAAAUGUCUUGAACCAUCUAUUGGACGCAUCUAUAUCUCCCGUGAUGUUAUCUUCGAUGAAACAUUAUUCCCUUUUUCUCUUCUUCAUCCCAAUGCUGGCGCCUUGCUUCAUGCAGAAAUUGCACUUCUACCAGACUAUUCUACACAUCCUGAUCACGGGGGUGAAUUAAAUGAUCAUGAUCAUGUGCAAAAAUCCACAGAAAAAUGCGGUUUAAAUGAGUCUUGUACAAAUUCUACUCGUCAUUUUAUGUGCACACAGGACAAAGGCACAGUCUUCGAGAAGGACCUGGCUGUCAGCGCACGAUCCCAGGCAGAUCCGCGGCAGCCUGCCGAACAGAGCGGCACGCGAUCCGGUGCAGAUUUGCCCCUGGCAGGCGACAGCGACAGCAGCCCAGGCGCGGGUCCAGGGGUGGCUCUGGGUGCGCCACGCCAAGCCGACCAGGUGGGUCACGUGGGUCUAGGUGCCGGUCCAGGCGAGUCACGCCAAGCCGACCAGGCGGGCCACAGCGGACCAGAUGCAGGCGUGGGUCCAGGCGCAGCGCCUCGCCAAUCCUCGCCUGUGCGGUCUGAUCCGGCUGUCGAGUGCGGCGCGGGGGGAGCGACUCCCCGUCUGCCACGUCGGUCGACCCAGUGCGCCGCCAGACCGAGGAACAGCGCGCACCUUCCUCGGAUCAGGAGCCGAUCCACCAUGCUGGAUCUUCUGUGGGCACCGCCGAAGCUGCUGGAUCUCCUGUGCCGCAGUCCACAGCUACUGAUUUUGUGGCUCCUUCACCUCCUCCUCGACACACCAGGUCUCGGUCAGGUAUUGUCAAGGAAAAACAAUAUAGUGAUGGUACAAUAA
RNAcentral lists this ribosomal RNA (1086 nucleotides) under Triticum aestivum (bread wheat). RNAcentral describes it as "partial small subunit ribosomal RNA". Lineage: Eukaryota; Viridiplantae; Streptophyta; Magnoliopsida; Poales; Poaceae. The record is from RNAcentral.